AGGGAUAUAGCUCAGGUGGUUAGAGCAUUUGGUUCAUACCCGAAGGGUCAUAGGUUCGACUUCUAUUAUUCCUACCA
This 77-nucleotide transfer RNA is filed under the name Clostridioides difficile. Its description in RNAcentral is "tRNA-Met(cat)". It matches the Rfam family "tRNA". Rfam says of the family: Transfer RNA (tRNA) molecules are approximately 80 nucleotides in length. Their secondary structure includes four short double-helical elements and three loops (D, anti-codon, and T loops). Further hydrogen bonds mediate the characteristic L-shaped molecular structure. tRNAs have two regions of fundamental functional importance: the anti-codon, which is responsible for specific mRNA codon recognition, and the 3' end, to which the tRNAs corresponding amino acid is attached (by aminoacyl-tRNA synthetases). tRNAs cope with the degeneracy of the genetic code in two manners: having more than one tRNA (with a specific anti-codon) for a particular amino acid; and 'wobble' base-pairing, i.e. permitting non-standard base-pairing at the 3rd anti-codon position. The record is from RNAcentral. Lineage: Bacteria; Bacillati; Bacillota; Clostridia; Peptostreptococcales; Peptostreptococcaceae.